This is a long non-coding RNA of Mustela erminea (ermine), 102 nucleotides long. RefSeq lists it as uncharacterized. The record is from RefSeq and is a predicted model, not a curated record. The transcript has 3 exons. NCBI's taxonomy places the organism in Eukaryota, Metazoa, Chordata, Mammalia, Carnivora, Mustelidae.
GAACAUGACAUUAAAAAGCCAUAUAUGACAAACCCAAAGAUAACAUCAUACUCAAUGGUGAAAGACUAAAAGCUUUUCCUCUCACAUCAGGGACAAGACAAG